CCUACGGGAGGCAGCAGUGGGGAAUAUUGGACAAUGGGCGAAAGCCUGAUCCAGCAAUGCCGCGUGAGUGAUGAAGGCCUUAGGGUUGUAAAGCUCUUUUACCAGGGAUGAUAAUGACAGUACCUGGAGAAUAAGCUCCGGCUAACUCCGUGCCAGCAGCCGCGGUAAUACGGAGGGAGCUAGCGUUGUUCGGAAUUACUGGGCGUAAAGCGUACGUAGGCGGUUAUUCAAGUCAGAGGUGAAAGCCCGGGGUCUCAACCCCGGAACUGCCUUUGAAACCUAGAUAGCUAGAAUCUUGGAGAGGUUAGUGGAAUUCCGAGUGUAGAGGUGAAAUUCGUAGAUAUUCGGAAGAACACCAGUGGCGAAGGCGACUAACUGGACAAGUAUUGACGCUGAGGUACGAAAGCGUGGGGAGCAAACAGGAUUAGAUACCCUGGUAGUCCACGCCGUAAACGAUGAUAACUAGUUGUUCGGGCACUUGGUGCCUGAGUGACGCAGCUAACGCAUUAAGUUAUCCGCCUGGGGAUACGGUCGCAAGAUUAAAACUCAAAGGAAUUGACGG
Molecule: ribosomal RNA, 562 nt
Filed under: uncultured bacterium
Lineage: Bacteria
Description: bacterial SSU rRNA
Rfam family: Bacterial small subunit ribosomal RNA
Source: RNAcentral